This 93-nucleotide ribosomal RNA is filed under the name Notechis scutatus (mainland tiger snake). Lineage: Eukaryota; Metazoa; Chordata; Lepidosauria; Squamata; Elapidae. The record is from RNAcentral.
UUUUGUCUACUGUCUAUCCUGAAAAUGCCCAAUCCUGUCUGACCUUGGAAGCUAAGUAGGGCCAGGCCUAGUUAGUACUUGGAUGGGAGAAAU